This 63-nucleotide transfer RNA is filed under the name Endomychus coccineus. RNAcentral describes it as "tRNA-Leu". It matches the Rfam family "tRNA". Rfam says of the family: Transfer RNA (tRNA) molecules are approximately 80 nucleotides in length. Their secondary structure includes four short double-helical elements and three loops (D, anti-codon, and T loops). The record is from RNAcentral. Lineage: Eukaryota; Metazoa; Arthropoda; Insecta; Coleoptera; Endomychidae.
AUUAUUUUGGCAGAGUAGUGCAUUAGAUUUAGAAUCUAAUUAUAUAAUUUUUUAUAAAUAAUA